RNAcentral lists this ribosomal RNA (880 nucleotides) under uncultured bacterium. Its description in RNAcentral is "bacterial SSU rRNA". It matches the Rfam family "Bacterial small subunit ribosomal RNA", at positions 28 to 904 of the family's 1533-position model. The record is from RNAcentral.
GAUGAACGCUAGCGACAGGCCUAACACAUGCAAGUCGAGGGGCAGCACGGUGUAGCAAUACACGGGUGGCGACCGGCGCACGGGUGAGUAACGCGUAUGCAACCUACCUACUACAAGGGGAUAACCCGUUGAAAGACGGACUAAUACCCCAUAACACAGGGGAUCCGCAUGGAUAUAUUUGUUAAAGAUUAAUCGGUAGUAGAUGGGCAUGCGUUCCAUUAGCUUGUUGGUGAGGUAACGGCUCACCAAGGCAACGAUGGAUAGGGGAACUGAGAGGUUGAUCCCCCACACUGGAACUGAGACACGGUCCAGACUCCUACGGGAGGCAGCAGUGAGGAAUAUUGGUCAAUGGACGAGAGUCUGAACCAGCCAAGUCGCGUGAAGGAAGACGGCCCUACGGGUUGUAAACUUCUUUUGUAAGGGAAUAAAAAGUCUUACGAGAUAAGACGUUGCAGGUACCUUACGAAUAAGGAUCGGCUAACUCCGUGCCAGCAGCCGCGGUAAUACGGAGGAUCCGAGCGUUAUCCGGAUUUAUUGGGUUUAAAGGGUGCGCAGGCGGCAUGUUAAGUCGGCGGUGAAAUUUUGCAGCUCAACUGUAAAAGAGCCUUCGAAACUGGCAAGCUUGAGUGUGGAUGAAGUAGGCGGAAUUUGUGGUGUAGCGGUGAAAUGCAUAGAUAUCACAAAGAACACCGAUUGCGCAGGCAGCUUACUAAACCAUAACUGACGCUCAUGCACGAAGGCGUGGGGAUCAAACAGGAUUAGAUACCCUGGUAGUCCACGCAGUAAACGAUGAUUACUGGCUGUUUGCGAUACAAUGUAAGCGGCUGAGCGAAAGCGUUAAGUAAUCCACCUGGGGAGUACGUUCGCAAGAUGAACUCAA